GAUGAACGCUAGCGGGAGGCCUAACACAUGCAAGCCGAGCGGUAUUGUUUCUUCGGAAAUGAGAGAGCGGCGUACGGGUGCGGAACACGUGUGCAACCUGCCUUUAUCUGGGGGAUAGCCUUUCGAAAGGAAGAUUAAUACUCCAUAAUAUAUUGAACGGCAUCGUUUAAUAUUGAAAGCUCCGGCGGAUAGAGAUGGGCACGCGCAAGAUUAGCUAGUUGGUGAGGUAACGGCUCACCAAGGCGAUGAUCUUUAGGGGGCCUGAGAGGGUGAUCCCCCACACUGGUACUGAGACACGGACCAGACUCCUACGGGAGGCAGCAGUGAGGAAUAUUGGUCAAUGGGUGCAAGCCUGAACCAGCCAUCCCGCGUGAAGGACGACUGCCCUAUGGGUUGUAAACUUCUUUUGUAUAGGGAUAAACCUACCCUCGUGAGGGUAGCUGAAGGUACUAUACGAAUAAGCACCGGCUAACUCCGUGCCAGCAGCCGCGGUAAUACGGAGGGUGCAAGCGUUAUCCGGAUUUAUUGGGUUUAAAGGGUCCGUAGGCGGACUUAUAAGUCAGUGGUGAAAGCCUGUCGCUUAACGAUAGAACUGCCAUUGAUACUGUAAGUCUUGAGUAUAUUUGAGGUAGCUGGAAUAAGUAGUGUAGCGGUGAAAUGCAUAGAUAUUACUUAGAACACCAAUUGCGAAGGCAGGUUACCAAGAUAUAACUGACGCUGAGGGACGAAAGCGUGGGGAGCGAACAGGAUUAGAUACCCUGGUAGUCCACGCCGUAAACGAUGCUAACUCGUUUUUGGGCUUUAGGGUUCAGAGACCAAGCGAAAGUGAUAAGUUAGCCACCUGGGGAGUACGCUCGCAAGAGUGGAACUCAAAGGAAUUGACGGGGGCCCGCACAAGCGGUGGAUUAUGUGGUUUAAUUCGAUGAUACGCGAGGAACCUUACCAAGACUUAAAUGGGAAUUGACAGCUUUAGAAAUAGAGCUUUCUUCGGACAAUUUUCAAGGUGCUGCAUGGUUGUCGUCAGCUCGUGCCGUGAGGUGUUAGGUUAAGUCCUGCAACGAGCGCAACCCCUGUCACUAGUUGCCAUCAUUCAGUUGGGGACUCUAGUGAGACUGCCUACGCAAGUAGAGAGGAAGGUGGGGAUGACGUCAAAUCAUCACGGCCCUUACGUCUUGGGCCACACACGUAAUACAAUGGCCGGUACAGAGGGCAGCUACACAGCGAUGUGAUGCAAAUCUCGAAAGCCGGUCUCAGUUCGGAUUGGAGUCUGCAACUCGACUCUAUGAAGCUGGAAUCGCUAGUAAUCGCGCAUCAGCCAUGGCGCGGUGAAUACGUUCCCGGGCCA
RNAcentral lists this ribosomal RNA (1345 nucleotides) under uncultured bacterium. RNAcentral describes it as "bacterial SSU rRNA". It matches the Rfam family "Bacterial small subunit ribosomal RNA", at positions 28 to 1381 of the family's 1533-position model. The record is from RNAcentral.